Molecule: ribosomal RNA, 425 nt
Filed under: uncultured bacterium
Lineage: Bacteria
Description: partial 16S ribosomal RNA
Rfam family: Bacterial small subunit ribosomal RNA
Source: RNAcentral
GUUAGGAAUAUUGGACAAUGGGCGCAAGCCUGAUCCAGCCAUGCCGCGUGAGUGAUGAAGGCCUUCGGGUUGUAAAGCUCUUUAGCCGAUGAUUAUAAUGACUGUAGUCGGAAAAUAAGCCCCGGCUAACUUCGUGCCAGCAGCCGCGGUAAUACGAAGGGGGCGAGCGUUAUUCGGAAUCACUGGGCGUAAAGCGUGCGUAGGCGGCUUUGCAAGUUGGGAGUGAAAGCCCAGGGCUCAACCCUGGAAUUGCUCUCAAAACUGCAAGGCUCGAAUUCGGGAGAGGAUAGCGGAAUUGUCAGUGUAGCAGUGAAAUGCGUAGAUAUUGACGGGAACACCAGUGGCGUAAGCGGCUAUCUGGACCGAUAUUGACGCUGAGGCACGAAAGCGUGGGGAGCAAACAGGAUUAGAUACCCCGGUAGUCC